GCCACGCGCAACCGAGCCAUUCCUGUGUGAGUCGUAUGCCAGCCGUGAGUCUCAAGACUCGAGCUGAAGCGUUGUUAGUCGAGCCACCUUCAGUUUUAGCCGUCUGCAACAUAUUUAAGCCCUUGGUGAGUUUUUGCUUAAUUCUCGUUGUGUUUGGUACACCCAAAUAAUUAUUGUUUUGGGUCUAAAAUGAGUUAGCACUGGAAUGAGUUGAAUUAUGUUGUUUGAGAUGGUCGUAUAAAUAGUUACUUUGAAAACCAUAUUAUGAUUUAGAUAUAGUAUUAUUUGUUGAGGCAUGCUAUAAUCAAAUAUGUUACUUUUGAGUUAUGUGUAAUUGAGCUAAGAUGUUGAUCUUAUGAUAAACAUGUAUAGGCUAUAGUGUUCUGUUAGUUUUGCCUAUUAGAGUUGUACCGUAUGGGGGUCCAUCAGGGUCACCACCUAUGUAUGCAUGUGUGACUUGUUUGAGAUGUGAUUCGACGGGAUCACUUACAGUCUGACUCUCCUAUAGGAUGAUUCCUUCGGGUUCACCGAGAGCCUAGAUGUGUCCCUACGGAACCACUUGAUAGUAUGCGUUCGGGAGCGCAAUAGUAUGCGGUACCAUGUUACAGGACUCUAACGAAAGGUUAACAGACACAUAGUGAGACCACUAUGGGUCUCUUACUAAGUAUAAAUUUAUACUCACUCUUUUAAAUGUUUAAUUUCAGGUAAGGGUAGAGGCAAGGGCAUAAUAGCGAAUGAUAAGAAGUGAUCAUAGAUCGCCAUAGGGAACAAUUCAGUUUUCUUUCGCAUUUAUAUUUCAAUACUUAUAUUUUCAUAGGUUUAUUUCAGAACUCUGGUUCAAUUACUUUAAGUAUUUCUUCUAUUUUUGGGCCCAAACUGGUAUUUUGAUCAGUUAUUUUAACUACUUAUUAUUUAAAGUUUUUCCUCAAAUUUUAAUUUAUUUUCUUGUAUAUUAAAAAAAAUCUAUACUUACUUAAAUAGUAAUGACCUCAACCUUCUAGAAAAGUUGGGGCGUUACAAUUAAAACUAAGUUACCUAGGUCAUCCUAAUGAAUAGAAACCUAACUAGUAAACAGAGUUUCAUCUAGUAGUUAUUAUUUUGCCGUCUGAUCUUAUGUAAACUUAUUGCAUAAGAUACCGUCACUCGUAUGUCAACUACACAAACGCGUUGAAUCAUUGUGUUUGUAUCAAAUACAAAGUGAGCCAUAUUCAUAGUGUUACCAGGAUUAGGUAUUCAGCAUUAUCCUUCUACUAUAGAACCUUUAAGCUGAUCUUGAACCUUUAUCCCUGUAUGUCUCUACAUACUGUUUAAGAUUCAUUAAACAACUUAGGAUGUUAGUUUGUUUGAUUUGAGUUAUUAAGACAACUAAUAUUAUAACCAAUAACAAUUAUUACAAUAAUAACAUGUUAUUAACAACGAUUAAUGGAUUAUAUUUACAAUCUACGAGUUUUAGGACAUAAAUCCCAACAUAAACGAUCUUUUAUUUAGUCUAAACAAUAUUGUACCAAAUCUAAACGAUCCAUUAGUAACAGUGGUCUAUGUCUGUUUAUCUGGGAUAGACAACUGAUGAUUUAGAUAUUGAUACAUUAUCAUUUAAAUCAUGUACUAAUAUCAUUUAGAUCUUGUACCAAGAAGCAAAAAGAGAAGAUGAGAGAUGAAGAAGGAAGUAAUUUUGAAAAAGGAAAUGAAGAAAUCAAAGACAAGAAGAAGUGAGAAUAUGAAAGAGAAGUAAUAAUAUGAAGAAAUUAAUAAUACGAAGAAGAGAAGAAUAAAUUGCAAAGAAGAAGAAAAAGAAGUGAAGUGAAGAAUGGUUUCACAAUGCGCAAAAAUAAUGACAAAGGGAAAAUCUGAAAUUUAUAAAAAAAAAUAAUGGUGGCUUCAUGUGCUUUAAUUUUUUGUUACAUGCGACGUAAAUAUUUUUGGGUUUUGCUACAUUUAUGUGUAUUAUUCAUGAUUUAAUUUAAUUAAUUACUUUUCUAAUUAAUUAAUUACUAAGUUAAGCAUCACAUAUUUAACUUAAUCUAGAAUUUGAAUUAUCUUCAAUUGUAUCUCGUGUACGAUCGGUAUGGGAAUCCUCAAGAGGGUGAAUAGGGUUUUUACAAAUUAAUGAAACAAGUGGGCCAAAUUAAAUAAAUUAACAAACUUUUUGCUAAUAAAUAAUGUAAUCAAUAAUCUCAUACAAAUGCAUGCACAUCAAAAUAACUUAUAAGGUGACGUUAACAAAUUCAAACAUCCAUUUUAAUGUUUAUAACAAGAAAAUUGGUAACACAAAUAUGCAAAGAUAAACUUAAACCAACCUAAAUAGAGAAGUGAGCAAUUAAUCUCAAGAACAAAAGUUGCAAUUAAUUUCAAACACUAAAAUUUGAUAACAAAUUAAUUGCAAAAUUAAAUAGUUGAGAGAUAAAGAAAUUAACAUCGGGAAUUUUAUAGUGGCUCGGCACAACCGACCUACAUCCACUUUUCAAGCUCCUCUUGGUUAUUUCACUCAAACUUGACUCUUUCGAUGGCUUAGAGUAGAUCCAUACAACGUUCCUUUUUUCAAGUGUAAGAACAAGCUCAAUCAUUUCCACGGUUUAGGAUCAAACCAUUACGACCACUCUUUUUAGAGAUCAAGAGAAAUCCUUUAAAAUGAAUUAGAAAUGAAGCACGAUAUGAGAAAAUCCUCUAAAUUAGUAGAUUUACAAAUUUGUAGUACUCAACAAUUAAAUCCCCAAUACAAUAAACUAGGACAUCCCCAUACCCAUUACACAUCUCCCACUUGUCCUAGAUUACCUAAUGUACAAAACUCGCAGAUCUAGACUCUCUAGAUGAGCCUCGAACACUUUAGCCGUGAGAGUCUUUGUAAAUGGAUCAGCAAUGUUAUGCUCCAAAGCGAUCUUGGUGACUAUCACUUCACUUCGUUGCACAAUCUCUUGUAUCAGAUGAUAUUUUCUCUCUAUAUGUUUUCCUCAUUUGUGGCUAUGAGGUUCCUUAUAAUUGGUCACUGCCCAAUUGAUAUCAAAAUAUAAAGUGAUGGGCAUGUUCAUAUUUGGAACAACUUCCAAAUCUUGCAGAAACUUCCUUAGCCAAAUUGCUUCUAUUGUUGCUUCACAAGCAACGACGUACUCAACCUUUAUAGUAGAGUCUACAAUGCAUCCUUGCUUGAUGCUAUGACAUGCUACUGUUCUCCCGUUUAGGGUGAACACUAAUCCCACUAGAUUUCCUAGAAUCCUUAUCUGUUUAGAAAUCAGGAUUAAAUCCCUAGCUUCAUACACAAGCAUGUAGUUUCUCAUUCUCCUAAGAUACUUAAGAAUAAUUUUAACCGUCGUCUAGUGGUCUAACCCUAAGUUGGACUGAUAUCUACUGACUAUUCCCACUACAUAAUAAAUGUCUAACCUAGUGCAGAACAUAACAUAAAUUAAGCUACCCACAACUAAGGCAUAUGGAAUAUGUCUCAUAUCUUCUCAACUUCUUGAGGUGUCUUAGGACAUUGUUCCUUAGACAAGUAAACCUCGUGCUUGAAAGGUAAUAAAUCCUUCUUAGAGUUUGCAUCGAAUAUCGAACCAAUAUUUUGUCGAUAUAGGUUGCCUGAGACAGUGCUAGCAUUUUGUUCUUACGAUCCCUUAUGAUUUGGAUCCCAAGAACAAAUUGUGCCUCUCCCAAAUCUUUCAUUUAGAAUUGGACUGGUAGCCAAGUUUUAACGUUAGUUAGGUAUCCUACAUCAUUUCCAGUGAGAAGGAUAUCAUCCACAUAAAGUACUAAGAAAGCUACUUUAUCUUUGUUGAUUUUCUUGUAUACACAAGGCUCAUCAACAUUUUGGUCAAAACCGUAAGAUUUGAUCGCAAUAUCAAAUCUAAUGUUCCAAGAUCUAGAUGUUUAUUUCAACCCAUAAAUGGAUCGAUUCAGCUUGUAAACUUUUUGUUUCUAACCUUGGGUUAUGAACCCCUCAGGCUGAGACAUAAAGAUACUCUCUUCAAGAUUGCCACUUAGAAAAGCAGUAUUAACAUCCAUUUGUCAUAUUUCAUAAUCAUAAAAAGUGACUAUGGACAAGAGAAUCCUUAUAGACUUUAACAUAGCAACAGAGAAAAAGUUUCCUCGUAGUCAAUCCCUUCCCUUUGGGUAUACCCAUUUGCUAAGAGUCUAGCUUUGAAGGUUUGUACCUUCCCAGCUGAAUCUCUCUUUCUCUUAUAGAUCCAUUUGCACCCUAUGGGUUUCACCCCUUCAGGUAGAUCUACAAGCUCUCAUACUGAAUUGAAGUACAUAGAUUCCAUGGUUUUAACCUAUUAGUUCUUGUCUACAUCAGUCAUUGCCUAUUUAUAGAACAAUGGAUCCUCAACGACAUCAUCUGGUAUGACAACCUGAGUUUCAGUUAAACCGAAGUAACGAUUAGGUUGUGAUAUAACUCUCCCACUGCAUCGAGGCAUUCUCAACAAUUGAGAAGGAUGAGACUAAUCGGAUGUGUUGGUUUCCUCAACUCUUGAUGAGGGACCAACUUCAUCAACAACCCUUGCUGAUUCAUUAGUAGCUUCACUUAAUUUUGAUUUGCUUCAUGGUUUAUGAUCUCUCAUGUUGUUUUCUUCCAAGAAAGUAGCCUUUGUCAAUAUAAACACUUUGUUUUCUUGUGGAUCGAAGAAUAGACCACCUCUCGUUUCUUUAGGAUAACCAAAAAAUUGACAUAACCUUGAACGAGAGUCCAACUUCUUAGAAUUUGACACUAAAACGUGUGCUGGACAACCCCAAAUUAUGGAGUGACUUAACUAGGUUUACAUCCUCUACAUAACUCGAAAGUGUAACGACCCAACUCUUUAUACUAAGUUGAGGUCAUUACUACUAAAACAAAUAAAGACUUUUUAUUUAAAUCAAAGAAAAUACUAAGUUUUAAAACAAACACUUCAAAUAUUUAUUCAUAAAAUAUAAGUAAAGUAUGUAAAGAAAACAAUAAAUAAAAUAUUAGUUUGGGCCCUAUUUAAAAUAAAAAUAUAUAUCUAAAAGUAAAUGUGGGUUCUGAAAUAAGUUUAUGAAAAUUUAAUAUUGAAAAUAUAAAUGCUAAAUAAAACAUAAAUUGUCCCCUAUGGAGAACCAUGGUGACUUCUUGUCAUUCGCCAACUUGCCUUUAUUUCUAUCUUUGCCUGAAAAAUUAAAUCUAGAAAGGAGUUAGUCUAAAUUUAUACUUAGUAAGGGAUCCACUAUUAGUCCCACUACGUGUUUGUUAAUUUUACGUUAAAGUCCUCCUAUAAGAAAGUACCGCAUAUCUAUUAUUCUACUGAAAUCACCCUAUCCAGUGAUCUCGUAGGGACAUAUAUGGGCUCUUGGUGAAGCAGAAGGAAUCACCCUAAAGAAGAGUCAAGUUGUAAGUGAUCUUGUCGAAUCACACAUCAAACCUAACCACAAAUACAUAAAUAGGUGGUGAUCCCGAGGGACACCUACAUGGUACGACUCUAACAAGUAAAGCUAACAGAACAUCAUAGCAUAUAUAGCAUAACAUAAAUAUCAUAUCUUAAUCGUAAUAUAUCUCAACCAUAGUAUAUCUCAUUCAUAACAUAUCAUGGUCAUCACAUAUCUCAGUCAUACAUAACGAUUUUCUAUGUUGCUAUCAUUAUCUAACAUCCUUAACAGUCACAUCACAUGCAUCAUAACUAUGUUAAUGCAUACUAAGGUAAAACAUAAUGUAAGAGGCUGGUAGUAGAAUCUUUUACCUGGAGAUUAAUUAGUUGAAAAUAUAGUCCCUUCCUGACAGUCAAUUCUCAAUUAAGUCAGGCCUAAACAUAAACAAAAUUAAAAUUGUUAAUUUUGUCAACCAUCAUCCAACUAUUUAAUUAAGCAUCCAAACUUACCCCAAGACUAAGGUUGAAUCCAACACAACCUUGAAUGAAAAAAUUUGCAGUUUCAAAUCCUCAAAUUAACACUUGAACCUUCGAGCAAAAGUAAUUCAACUCAUUCUCUUGUAAACUUAUUUAAGAUCCAAAGAAUAUUCAUUUGGACGUACCAAACCCAACACAAAUUCACCCAAAAGGCUCAAGAGAUACCAAAAAGUAACUUGGCUUGGACUAAGGUAGAAAUGGCUCACACAACUUGACAGAAGGAGAAUCGGCUCGACGGUUAGCUUGGGCGCACUACUCGCAAAGAGAGGAAAAAUCAGCAGAGUUGAGGGCAACUUGUGAAGAAGUGGAGAAUCGGCUCGGUGAUGCACAUAUCGGCUUGGUCAGGCAAAAGGUUCGUUCGACUGUUGCCUGCGAUGAGAUUUUGGUGGCACGAGACAGAACUUGCCGACAAUGAGGCUUGACAAAAACGUGCGAAAAAUAAAUAAAAAGAGAGAGACACCUCAACUUCACCUGUACGCGAACGGAGGAGGAAUGAUAGUGUCCACAAACGACGAGUGAUGAUCCUUGCAAUGGGUUCAGUGACGACUAGGGUUUGUGAAGAAGGAAGAAGAUGAUGAAUAGUUCUCUCUUUUCUUUGCACGUUUCACGAGGGUUAAUUAUAUAUAAUAAUAAUGAUGAUAUUUAUUAUUAUUAUCAUUAUUCCUUUUCCAUUUCCAAUUAACAAGUUAACUCAAUUAAAUUAUACUCUGUCUCCUCAUCAAACCAAACUUUUUAUUUUUCCCAAGAAUACAAUAUCUUUCAAAAUAAUUAUAUUUUCCACAAUAUAAUUAUUUUCUCUCGCUCAAAAAUAUCUUUCCUAAAAAAGUCAAUAAUAAAUUAUUCUUACCCUUCCAUGACUUAGUUUAUUAUAUUUACUUAUAUAAUUAGCCAAUAAUCUUAAAUCUCACCAAAAUUUCCAAUAAUACAAUUAAUUAAAUAAUCUUCCAUUGAACAUUUAAUUAAUCACAAUUUCCACAAAACAAACAAUUCUAAAAAAUUAUAACACUAGACUAAAUCCAUCAUAAAUUAAAUUAAAUUAAGAUAAUUUAAAAAUAAGAUUACGUCCCUCCUUUGAGAAACUUUCGUCCUUGAAAGUUCUAAUCCUUGUAUAGCUCGGGAUAAUGAGCUCUCAUGUUGUCCUCUCUCUCCCAAGUAGCUUUUUCAACCUCGUGGUUUUGAUAAAGAACAUUAAUUAAUUCCCCUGUUAUGAAGCAACUUAACUUCUUUUGCCAAAAUCUCAACUGGUUGCUCCUCAUAGCUCAAGUUCUCAUUGAUUUGCAAUGACUCAUAAUCAACUAUAUGUGUUGGAUCUGUUACACACUUCCUCAGCAUGGAUACAUCGUAUACAUCAUGAACUGCAGACAAUGACAGAGGCAAUGCCAAAUGAUGAGUUACGAAACGUGGACUCAGGUUUCCCUUCUUCUCAAACCUCAUAACACCCUUCAUAGGUGCUACCUUUACAAAAACCAUGUCCCCUACAUCGAACUCAAGAUCCCUACGUUGUUCAUUGGCGUAACUCUUCUGUAUGCUCUGCGCUGUCAACAUGCGGGCUCUAAUCUUCUGUAUGGCCUCAUUGGUGGUCUGAACUAGCUUGGGACAUAACAUCCUCUGCUCACCAACCUCACCCCAACAUACAGAGAAUCUACAACACUUACCAUGCAGAGCUUCAAAUGAUGCCAUGUCAAUGGUAGCCUGCUAACUGUUAUUAUAAGCGAACUCCAUCAAAUGCAAAUAGGAGUCCCAACUUCCUGAAAACUCUAGCACACAUGUUUGGAACAUAUCCUCCAAAAUUUGGCUCAAACGCUCUGUCUAACCAUCAGUCUGAGGGUGAACAGUUAUACUAAAGUCCAAUCUCGUGCCCAUGGCAGCCUGAAGUCCUUUCCAAAACUUGGAAGUAAAAUAGGCAUCUCUAUCAGAAACAAUUGACACGAGCACUCCAUGCAGUCUCACUAUCUCGGUCAUAUACAACUGUGCCCACUUACUGGCAGUACAAGUGGCCUUCUCUGAGAUGAAAUGGGCUGACUUCGUGAGCUUGUCAACAAUAAACCAAAUUACUUUAUAACCCUUCAGAGACCUUGGCAGUUCUAAAAUGAAAUCUAUAGACACAUUCUCCCACUUCCAUUCUGGCACACUCAAAGGUUGCAAAAAACCUGUUGGCUUCUGUUUUAGUGUCUUCACCUGUUAGCAAACUAGAGACUUAUUGACAAAGUCUGGCACUUCCCUCUUCAUAUUUUUCCACCAGUAAACUUGUUUUAAAUAUUUAUACAUCUUUGUACUAUUUGGAUGCAUAGAAAGUGGAGAAUUAUGGGCCUCAACCAACAACUCUGUCUUAACUACACUGUCUGCUGGCACACAUAACCGUCUCUCGAACAUGAGUCCAUCAUCAGAGGAUAAAGAGAACUCCUCAGCUUACCCUACUUCUGUUAAGCAUCACUUAUCAACCAAAUAAGGAUCAGUGAGCUGAGCAAUAAUAAUUCUCUGCCUCAAAGUUGGUUGUACUGACACCUGAGCUAACUGUGAGGUGACUUCUCCUACUAAAAAUGCAAUCUUAGCUCUCUCAAGAUCUCUGUGCAAAGGAACCUGACUAGUAAUGAGUGCUACAGAGUAUGAUACCUUCCUACUAACUCACGAUCUCAUGAUCGUAGUCCUUGACCAACUCGAGCCAUCCGCGCUAUCUCAUAUUUAAGUCCUUGACCAAUUCAAGCUCUUAUGGUCAAUGAAGAUCUGAAUCUUCUCACCAUAUAAAUAAUGCCUCCAAAUCUUAAGUGCAAAAACUAUUGCUGCCAAACUCUAAAUCAUGUGUAGGGUAGUUCUGCUCAUGGCUCUUCAACUGAGGAGAGGCAUAAACAACCACCUUACCUUAUUGCAUCAAUACACAACUCAAUCCUUUCUAAGAGGCAUCGCUGUAAAUCACAUAACUCCCAGAUCCAUCUGGCACUAUAAGGACUGGUGUAGUAACAAGUUUCUGUUUAAGAUCCUGGAAACUGCUCUCACAUGCUGGGCUCCAAACAAAAGGAUUCCCCUUCCUGGUUAGCUAGGUCAAAGGACUAGCUAUACGAGAGAAGCCUUCCACGAACCUUCUGUAAUAACCUAUUAAACUCAAAAAACUUUAAACUUCACUGACUGUACAAGGUCGAGGCCAAAUGGUAACAACUUUAAUCUUUGCUGGGUCUAUAAUAACUCCUUCACUGGACACUACAUGGCCAAGGAACAAAACUUGCUUCAGUCAAAACUCACACUUGGAAAACUUGGCAUAUAGCCUAUUGGCUCGAAGAGUCUCUAAUACCUUAUGCAAAUACUCCUCAUGCUCAGCCUCUGUCUUGGAGUAAACCAAGAUGUGAUCAAUAAAAAAUAUCACAGAAGUGUCUAAGAAAUCCUUAAGCACCACCUUAUUCAUCAAAUCCAUAAAUACACCAGGAGCAUUUGUCGAGCCAAAGGACAUCACAAUAAACUCGUAAUGUCCAUAUCUGGAAAGGCAGUCUUGGGAAUAUCACUGUCUCUAAUCCUCAACUGGUGAUAUCCUGAUCGUAAAUUGAUCUUAGAGAACACAGUGGCUCCCUAAAACUGAUCAAACAAGCCAUCAAUCCUGGGCAAUGAAUAUUUGUUCUUGACUAUCACCUUAUUAAGCUUUUUAUAGUAAAUGCAAAGACACAUCAACCCAUCUUUCUUCUUCACAAAUAAUGCCGGUGCUCCCCAAGGUGACAUACUAGAUCGAAUAAAGCCCUUGUCCUAUAAUUCUUGCAACUAGACCUUCAACUCCUUCAACUCAGCUGGAGCCAUUCUGUAUGGAGCUCUCGAUAUGGGACCAGUGCCUGGUUUCAGUUCAAUAGCAAAAUCAACCUCUUUGUGAGGAGAAAGUCUUGAAAGCUCUUCUAAAAAAACAUCGGGGUAUUUCUUUACCAUUCAUUCAGAUGAUAAGGAUACAUCGGGCUCUCUGGUAUCUACAACACUAGCCAAGAUACUCUAAGUACCUUGGUUGAACAACUUACUGGCCUUCAUGGUUGAGAUAACUUUGGGUAGGCCACAGUCCCCGCCCCCUUAUACUUUAAACUAGUCGCCUCAUGAGGGUUAAAAACUACCUCCUUGCGAGAAUAAUCUAUGUUUGCAUGGUUAGCAGAUAGCCAAUUCAUGCCCGAUAUUACAUCAAAGUCUUGCAUGUGUAAUACUAAUAAAGUUACAUCUAAAACAUGAUAUGCUAUUUCUAUUUAACAUGUUUUUAUCUUUCCUUUCGACAACAUAAUUUAUCCAGAUGGAGUAGAGACAAAUAACAUAUAACUCAAGGGUUCUACUUGUAAACUCAUAUGUUGAACAAAAAUUGGCGAUAUAAAAGAAUGAGAGGACCCCGAGUCAAAUAAUAAUAAAGCAAAGUGCUCCAAGAUUAGGAGUGUACCUAUCACCACUGUGUAAGCUUUCUCAGCCUCCUGUUGAUUAGUGGCAAAAACUCACCCCUAUCGAGAUGUAGAAGUCUAGUUCGAGAUAGGUUCAAACUAUUUCUGAGGGUAAUUAUCAGCUAUAUAUAUGUCAGGUUGCCUACACUUGUAGCAUAUACUACUUCCUAUUAGGCAAUGACCUGAAUGAGGCCUUUCACAAUUAGAACACAUGUAUACUUCCUUCAAGGUUUUGCCUGCCUCAACAACCUACUGUCUAAGCUGCUGGAACAAACCACCUAAUCUCAAAUUCCUUUGUGGUGCUAUUGUAGGCUACUGCUAAGCCUUCCUUUUCUACCCUACAAUUGGACCAUUCUCUACAGCCUUGGCCAUCUUUAUCCUCUCAUGCAAACUCAAAUCCACUGUCAUGUGUAGUGCAUCAUCUUAGGUAGCUAGUCUAAAGACUCUAACGAAACCCUGGAUCUCCUACUUAAUGCCUUUGACAAACUUGUCAACUCUCUCAGUCUCAGUUCUCACUAACUCAGGUGCAAAUCGGGAUAACACAUCGAAUUCUUGAUCAUACUCCUCUAUGGCCAUAUUGCCUUGCUCCAACUUUAAGAACUCUUGACACGAAGAAGAAUUUGGCAUGAAAAUUCUCCUUAAACUACUUUUAGGUGAUCUGACUCAUAUCUCCACCCAACAUCCUAUAUGUGGACUUCCACUAGCCUCUGUCUCUAUCAGUCAGUAAGAACACGACGCACUAAACUUUCUGGUCAUUGGAGCACUUCAUGUAACGAAAGAUAGUCUUCACCGAACUCAACCACAUCUGCGCCUUGGUGGAGUUUGCCAAGGAUCCAUCGAAAGUCCGAGGGUUAUACUUCCUGAAAUCCCUCAGGUGUUUGGCUUCUGCUGAAAGCAUAUCAAGUAGGUUAUAUGCUACAAUUGGGGCCUAAACUCCCGCAACUGGGAUCUAAACACUUGCAGCCGGUGUCCGUACAUGAGUUGUUUGGAUAUCCUAGGUAGGUUGUCACUGUGCCAAUACUUUGAACAAUAAGUCUAUGUACAUUUGCUCCAUGGCAGCAAGGUAUGCAUGAGUGACAGGUGCAGUAGGGUCGAUAACUUGUACAACAUGCUGUCCUUAAGGCUGGUUACGUCUAAAAAUUAUUUAAAUUCAAAAACUGUAACACCCAAAAAUUAAGGUAAUUUUAUAUUUUUAAUUAUCUUAGUUUAAUUUAAUUUAUGAUGGAUUUAAUUGGGUGUUAUAAUUUUUUUAGUAUUGUGAAAAUUGUGAUUAAUUGAAUGUUCAGUGGAAGAUUAUUUAAUUAAUUAUACUAUUGAAAAUUUUGGUGAGAUUUAAGUUUAUUGGUUAAUUAUAUAUGUAUAUAAUUAAUUAAGUUAUGGAAGGGUAGAAUAAUAUAUUAUUGAUUUUUUUUAGGAAAGAUAUUUUUUAGAGAGAAAAUAAUUAUAUUGUGGAAAAUCUAAUUAUUUGGAAAGAUAUUGUAUUUUUGGGGAAAGUAAAAAGUUUGGUUUGAUGGGUAUUUAACGAGGAGAGAAAGUAUGAUUUGAUUUUGGUUAAUUUGUUAAUUAGCAAAAGAAAAGGAAUAAUGAUAAUAAUAAUAAAUAUCAUUAUUAUUAUUAUAUAUAAUUAACCCUUGUGAAACGUGCAAAAAAGGGAACUAUUCAUCAUCUUCUUAAUUCUUCACAAACCCCAGCCGCCAUCGUGCUCCGUUGCAAGGAUCACCGCUCGUCGUUUGUUGACACCGUCAUUCCUCCUUUGUUCCUUAGUGACGAAGUCGCACAAGCCGACUAUGCACCCCCCACCUCCUACGUUUGCAUGUAGGUGAAGCCGAGGAAUCUCUCUCUUUUCAUUUCAUCAAUCAUCUAGUUUUUGAACGUUUUCAUUAAGCCUUACCGUCGUUAAGUUCUGUCUCGUGCCACCCAGAUCUCAUUGCCGGCAAUCGUUAAACGAACCCUUGCUUGAGCAAGUCGAUCUGUGCAUCACAGAGCCACUUAUCUACUCCUUCGUAAAUCGCGCUUGUCACAGCCGAUUUCUUUCUCCUUUUGUGAGUUGUGCACCCGAGCUGACUGCCAAGUCGAUUCUCCUCCUGCAGAGCCGCGUGGGCCAUUUCUGCCUUAGUUUAAGCCAAGUUGCUUUUUGGUAUCUCUUGAGCUGUGUUGGUUUGGUAUGCCCAAAUGAAUAUUUUUUGGAUCUUAAAUAAGUUUACAAUGGAAUGAGUUAAAUUAUUUUUGUUUGAAGGUUCAAGUGUUAAUUUGAGGAUUUGAGACUCCGAAAUUUUCCAUUCAAGGUUUUGUUUGAUUCAACCUUAAUCUUGGGGGUCAGUUUGGAUGCUUAAUUAAAUAGUUGGAAGUUUGGAUGCUUAAUUAAAUAGUUGGGUGAUGGUUGAAAAAAUUAAUAAUUUUAAUUUUGUUUAUGUUUAUGACUGAAUUAGUUGAUAAUUAAUCUCCAGGUAAGAAGUUUUAUUAUUAGAUCCUUACAUUAUGUUUUCCCUUAGUAUGCAUUAACGUAGCCAUGAUGCAUGUGAUGUGACGGUGAAGAAUGUUAGAUAAUGAUAGCUACAUAAAAAAUCGUUAUGUAUGACUAAGAUAUGUGAUGACCACGAUAUGUUAUGAAUGAGAUAUACUAUGGUUGAGAUACAUCAUGUUUGAGAUAUGUUAUUUAUGUUAUGUUAUAUGUAUAGACUAUGAUGUUGUGUUAGCUUUACCUGUUAGAGUCGUAUCAUAUGGGUGUCCCUCGGGAUCACCACCUAUUUAUGUUUGUGUGGCUUAGCUUUUAUAUGUGAAUCAAUAGGAUCACUUACACUUCUUUAGGGUGACUCCUUCGGGUUCACCAAGAGUCUAGAUGUGUUCCUACAAGAUCACUGGAUAGCGUACGUUUGGGAGCACAAUAGAUAUUCGAUAUUUUCUUACAGGACUAUAACGAGAGGUUAACAGACACGUAGCAGGAGUAGUAGUGGGUCUCUUACUUAGUAUAAAUUUAUACUCACCAUUUUCUAUGUUUAAUUUUUCAGGUAAAGGAGCAGGUAAAGGCAAGCUCGCGAAUGGCAAGAAGUGACCGUGGAUCGUCAUAGGGAACAUCUUAUGUUUUCUUCCACAUUUAUGUUUUGAGUAUUAAAUUUAUUUCAGAACCCAUGUUUACUUUUAGAUAUAGUUUUUUUAUUUUAAAUAGGUUCCGAACUAAUAUUUUAUUAUAUACUUUACUUAUAUUUUAUGAGUGUUUCUUUUUAAAACUUAGUAUUUUAUUUGAUUUAAAUAAAAAGUCUUUAUUUGUUUUAGUGGUAAUGAUCUCACCUUAGUAUAAAGUGUUGGAUCGUUACAGAAAGGUAUUUUAGAAACACUUUUCGAGGAACAUUGUUCAAUCUGCAUACCCCCAAAACGAGCAAGGCAAUUGAGCAUGACUCAUCAUUAAACGAACCAUGUCUAACAAGGUUUUAUUUCUCAUUUCUAAUAUACCAUUUUGUUGAGGUGUACCAGGUGCUGAAAGUUGUAAUUGGAUUCCAUGUUCUAUCAUAUAGUCCUGGAAUCUCAAAUCCAUAUACUCUCCACCUCGAUCAGAUAAAAGUAUUUUAAUUUUUUUUACUUGAUAGAUUUUUAACUUCAGCCUUAUACUUCUUGAACUUUCCAAGAGCUUCAGACUUACGUUUCAUUAAGUAUAAAUAAUCAUACCUUGAAUAAUCAUCUAUAAAAGAGAUGAAGUAUUCAAAACCUUCUCUAGCUUUUACAUUCAUUGGACCAUAGUGGUCUGAAUGUAUAAGUUCUAUGGGCUCUUUGGCUCCAUAGCAUUUUCUAGUAAAAGGUCUCUUUAGUCAACUUUUCUUCAAGACAAGAUUCACAUGGAGGCAAUGAAUCAUCUUCUAACUCAUUUAGAAGUCCAUUCUUUACCAAUCUCCCGAUCCUAUCGAGAUUAAUAUGACCUAAUCUUGAAUGCCAAAGAUAGGUAUUAUUUUGAGUAUUAGCAGUUUUAAACAUCUCAUGAUUUAAAAUUGCUUUCGCUUUGUUAGGACUUAAUACAUACAAAAGUUGUCUUCAAGCUUAGCUGAACAAAUGUGUACACCAUUCUUAGAAAUGAACACUUCAUUUAAAGAAAAAUGUUACAUUAUAUGAUUGUUCAAUAAGACAAGAAAUAAAUAUAAGAUUCCUUUUAAUCUUAGGAACUAUAUACAAGUUUUUUAAAAACAAGAAUCUAUUUUAAAAAGAAAAUUUAACAUCUCCCAUUACACGAGCUGAAAUGGCAUCUCUCGUUUUAACUUUGAGUGUAUCUCAUCCUCCUCGAGCUGCUUAAAGGAACUAGUUUUAUGUAAAGAAGAGCAAACAUGACUAGUGGCUCCUAAAUCAAGUAUCUAGACAUUUUGGUCAUUUUCCACUAAACAUGUUUCUAAGGCAAGUAAAUUAUAUUUACUUUCUUUUUAAUUCUUCUUAAAUAUCUCUUGAAGCGAAUCCUUGAUCUGACGUCUAAUGACCAUGGUUUUGUGUUUCUUGCUUAGUAUGUCAGACAUACUAGACAAGAGAUACACACAGGCCUUGUCAUUGGCCUUUGUCCAAUGAUUAUAUGCAUCCCUAAAAUUUUUAGAUGCAUUUCGAGCAGAGGAAGUAGCAAAAUGGUGUAGUUGAAAGGAAAAAUCGUACUUUGCAAGAAUUUGCUAGAUCAAUGUUGAAUGAGUAUGGUUUACCUAAAUAUUUUUGGACGGAAGCCGUUCACACCGCUUGCUAUGUUUCAAAUAGAGUUUUAGUUAGACCCUCUUUAGAUAAAACUCCUUAUGAACUUUGGCAUGGUAAAAUUCCAAAUAUUGGGUAUUUCAAAGUUUUCGGUUGUAAAUGUUUUAUUUUGAAUAACAAAGAAAAACUUGGAAAAUUUGAUUCUAAGACGGAUGUUGGUAUUUUUCUAGGAUAUUCCUCUACUAGUAAAGCUUAUAGAGUUUUCAAUAAGAAAACUUUAGUUAUUGAGGAAUCUAUUCAUGUUGUAUUUGAUGAAUCUUGGAAUAAUGUUUCUAAUGAGUCUAUUUGUAGUGAUGAUUUAGAAAAAGAUUUUGGAGAUUUACUUGUUAAUGACAAAGGCAAAGAAAUUGUUCCAAGUAUGCAAGAUGUGAACAUCAUAGAAAAGAAAGAAGAGGGUUCUUCAUCCUUGCCUAAAGAGUGGAGAUAUGCUCUAUCCCAUCCCAAGGAUCUAAUUCUUGGCAAUCCCGAACAAGGUGUCAAAACUCGUUCUUCUCUUAAUUUAUUUAGUAAUCUUGCUUUUGUGUCUCAAAUUGAACCUAGAAGUUUUAAAGAUGCCGAAUGUGAUGAGUUUUGGAUUUUAGCUAUGCAAGAAGAAUUAAAUCAAUUUGAAAGAAACAAAGUUUGGAAAUUAGUCCCUAGGCCUUCUAAUGCAUCUAUAAUCGGAACAAAAUGGGUUUUUAGAAAUAAGAUGGAUGAAAAUGGAAAUAUCAUUAGAAAUAAAGCUAGACUUGUAGCUCAAGGUUAUUGUCAAGAAGAAGGUAUAGAUUAUGAAGAGACUUUUGCACCGGUUGCUAGAUUAGAAGCUAUUAGAAUGUUGCUUGCUUUUGCUUCUUAUAAAAAUUUCAUUUUGUAUCAAAUGGAUGUAAAAAGUGCUUUUUUAAACGGUUAUAUAUUGUAGAGGAAGUUUACGUAGAACAACCUCCGGGCUUUGAAAGUUUUGAUUUACCUAAUCAUGUUUAUAAGUUGGAAAAGGCUCUUUAUGGCUUAAAACAAGCUCCAAGAGCUUGGUAUGAUAGACUUAGCAAGUUUUUACUUGAGAAUGACUUUAAGAUGGGAAAAAUUGAUAAUACUCUAUUUAUUAAAGUUAAAAAUAAUGACAUGCUUAUAGUGCAAAUUUAUGUGGAUGAUAUUAUAUUUGGUUCUACUAAUUCAUCUUUGUGUGAAGAAUUUUCCAAGUGUAUGCAUAAUGAGUUUGAGAUGAGUAUGAUGGGAGAACUUAGUUUCUUCCUUGGCCUUCAAAUCAAACAACUCAAGGAUGGCAUCUUCAUAAGUCAAGAAAAAUACACAAGGGAUUUGCUCAAGAAAUUCAAAUUCAAUGAAGGUAAAGUUGCAAAAACUCCUAUGAGCACUACCACUAAGCUUGACAAAGAUGAAAAAGGUAAGUGUGUGGAUAUAAAGACUUAUCGAGGUAUGAUCGGAUCUUUACUUUAUUUGACCGCUAGUAGACCCGAUAUCAUGUUUAGUGUAUGUCUUUGUGCUAGAUUUCAAUCUUGUCCUAAAGAAUCACAUUUCCAUGCCGUUAAAAGGAUACUUAAAUAUUUGCUUGGAACUAUUGAUGUUGGAUUAUGGUAUCCUAGAAAUGUUGAGUUUAAUUUGGUAGGAUAUUCCGAUGCGGACUUUGCCGGUAGUUUACUUGACCGUAAAAGUACUAGUGGGACUUGUCAAUUUCUUGGUAGUUCCUUAGUAUCUUGGUUUAGUAAAAAGCAAAAUUCGGUUGCCUUAUCCACUACCGAAGCGGAAUAUAUUGCGGUUGCUAGUUGUUGUGCACAAAUUCUUUGGAUGAAACAAGCUCUUUGUGAUUUUGGAUUAAAAUUUGAUAAUGUGCCUAUAUUUUGUGAUAAUACUAGUGCCAUAAAUUUGACUAAGAAUCCUAUUCAUCAUUCUAGAACUAAGCAUAUAUAUAUUAGGCAUCACUUUAUUAGAGAGCAUGUACAAAAUGGUCAUAUUACUCUUGAGUUUGUAAGCUCCAAUAAUCAAUUAGCGGAUAUAUUUACCAAGCCUUUGAGUGAAGAAAGCUUUUGUAAAAAUAGGCUUGAGCUUGGAAUUAUUCGUUGGGAUGCAUCUUGAUUUUAUAUCUUACUUGAUAUUGUUACCGUAAUGCAUAUUGAUAGGAGGAGAAUUAGACAUUUUGUAUGUGUUCAUGUUUUUUGGGAGAGCUAACUUCAUUGGUAUUGUUUUUGAUGAUUCCAAAGGGGAGAAGUAUAAGAAAAAUAUGUUUUUAUCAAUUUGUUGCAUAAUUGUUUCUAUUGAAUAAUGCAUAUUUUUUUAGAGAAAAAAAAUUAAUUAAGGACAAAGAAGGUUCUCUUAUCAAUUGUUUUCAAGUAUGUUCUUUGUGGUGAAAUAUAUACAUGAGCUUUAUGGUUAUACAUCUUGAUAAUAGAAUUACUUGUUGAUCAUGUGUGUUUCAAGUUAUUUUUCUUCAAUGAUUUGUCAUCAUAAAAAAGGGGGAGAUUGUUGGCUUUUUGGCCCUUAAUCUCAAAUUUAUUUAUUUUAAUUAUUCAAUUAAUUUAUGUUUUGAUGAUAACAAAUCUGAUUUUUUUAUUGACAAUUUUAUUAAUUUGAAUAGACCAUAUCGUAGAGCUUGGAAAAAUGAUUCUAACGCCUCUUGAAUCACCCAAAUCGAAGUUCAAAUGAAGAAAAUAUUGCUAAAAGAAGGUUAACAGAAAAAUACCCGAGAUGGUGACGUGGCGACCAAGCAUUCAAUUUGAACCAAUUAGAGAAAGCCACUUGGAGCAAUGAAGGAGUAACAAAUGUGGCUUUUUGUUAUGUUUUAUUGGCUUUUAUAAAGAAAAUGAAUUUAAAAAGAAAAUGAUUUUAAUAUUAUUAUUUUUCCUUGUGUCUAACGGCUAGUUGUUUUAAAAAGAUGGUGAAGCUUUAUUGAUUUCUUUUUAAACAAAGUAUUUUGAAAAGACAUAUUAUUAUAUUAUUAUUUGUAUUGUGUCUAACGGCUAAUUAAGUUUAAAUCUCAACCAUUCAUUUUUCUUUUACUUAUAUCUAAUGACCCAAAUGAUUUUGAAUUUAUCUUUCCUCUCUUUUUAAAUACUUCACAUUUACACAAGAUCACAACAUCUUUACAAUCCUCAAGCAAAAAGCCAACAUUGUUAUUCUCUCUAAAGCUUCCAAUUUUUAUUCUUUUCAUCUUAUUCUUGAGAGCUUCUUAUUGUAUUGUGAGGAUUAAAUUUGUGAGCUUCAAAUUAUAUACUCACUCUUUUAGAGAGUUUUCUUUUGUAUGAUUUAAAAACUUCAACAUAUUGUAACGGUUGGAUCCUAACCCGUGGAAAGGAUCGAGUUUGCUCUUGAACCCGAAAAAGGAGCAAGAAUCGGUUCGGCUCAAAUCCGUGAAAAGAGUCCAAAGAAGAUUUUCAAUCAAAAUCCCAAGAGGUGCUUGGGAAAGUGGAUGUAGGUUGAGUUUAACCGAACCACUAUAAAAUUACGGUGUCUUCUUCUCUAACUCUUUUCUAAUUAUUUUUUAAUUUAAUUUUAGUUACAUACUCUUAUUGGUUGAGUUUGAUUGCAUACUUCCAUUCAUAUAUUUUUAUCAAUCUUGUUAUUUAACAAAGUUUACAAAGUUCUUUAUUUAAAUUUAAAAAGUAUCUAAUUAGUUGAUUUUACUUUUUAUUUGUCAAAAAAGUUUAUUUAAACCCUAUUCACCCCUCUAGGGUUGCCAUACCGAUCCAAAAAUUGGUAUCAGAGCAAGGUUGCUCAUCUUGAAAUUUUAAUUUCUUGAUAAACUUUAUUGUUAGAGCAUUAUGGCAAACCUAUUGGCAAAUGGUAUUGUUGAAGGUCAAUCUUUUGCUCAUCACUGUAGCAUGAUAAUUGAAAUGACCUUAGGGUGGGGAUUGAAAUCAAGAGCUACAACAAACAUCCCUGUGGAGGAAGAACUACAAAAAACAUCGUUGAAGAAGCAGUCCAUUCUCUUCUUCUAUGUAAUUCAUAAGCAUGAAUCAUAUGUGUCCACAUAAUCCCUUUUUAUUCAUUGAAAAGGAUAUGUUAGAGUGAGUAGGCCCAAAUAUCAUUGGGAAUAGGAGUAGACCAUCCAAAGGAGAAGACAGUACACCAUGAAUCUGUACAAAGGAAUAUAUUCCUCCCAUUACCAAGCUUAAACUUUGCAACUUGAAAUGCUGAUCCAUGGACUUCUCAAACCUAAACCAAGCUUACCCGAAGUGCACCAAAGAUUUGGAUCAACUCCAUGAAUACUUCUAACAAUUUUGCACCAUAAAGAGUCCUGCUCCUUAAGGAUUCUCCAACUCCAUUUAAACAAUAAAGCUGUAUUUCUGUUUUCAUUUCCAAUCCCUAGACCACCAUCUUUUAGAGCUUUCGAAGCUAACUCCUGUUUAACCAAAGGAUUCAGCUUGCUGCCUUUUUGACCUUCCCAAAAGAAGUUACAUAAAAGUCUCCAAUUCUUGUAUCACCAAGAAAGGCAUUUGGAAUAAGGACAUAUUAUAAGUUGGUAGGUUGGCCAAAACUGAAUUACAUAAAGUUUAACGGGUCAUUGAUUCCUCUGCUUCUUUUACUGUUAAAUCCCUAAUUGAUGAUUUAACUUGUUCAAUAGGGUCCUCUACCAGAAAUCUUUAUUCUAUUAUUCGGUCUGAUCACUACCCAAAGAAAAUUAAAUUAUUCUGGGAACUUAGUCACGGUGCCAUUAAUACUGCUGAUUGCCUCCAACGCCAAAUGUCGUAUAUGUCUUUUUCUCCUACUUGGUAUGUUGUGUGUCAAACUGCUGCGGAAUCUGCCUCUCACCAAUUUGCGCACCGUUCCUUUGCUACUCAGUUUUGGCACAUCAUCUGGGAUGCUUUUUGGUUAUGAAAGAAAACAGAAAAGUCAUGAAGAAACCUUAUUAAAAGCCAUCGCACUAGAAGAGAAAAAAUAUGAUCAACCGGAUACGUGCACAGUGGAUCACUUAUUGUUAAUAAGAGAGUGGAUCUUCUAGCUCUUUGUAGAAGGGAGGAAAGAGAUAUAAUCCAGAAAACUAAGUUGACUUGGCUGAAAUUGGGGAACAAAAAUAUGAGUUUCUUCCAUCGUUCUCAUCGGGGAAAAAAAAAAAAGAAGAAGUCUAAUUCCGAAGCUUGUUAAUAAUCAAGGAAACCCAACCACUUUAUUCUUUGAAAUUGAGCAUUUAAUACUUGAUUUCUACAGCACCCUCUAUGAGAAAUCUCCUCACACCUCCGUUUUUUUAUUGGUCUGUAGUUUCAGCCGAUCAAAAUAAAAGGCUUAUUUCAAAAUUUAGUUUGGUGGAGAUCAGGGCAGCAUUAAAAUCAAUGGGAAGAAACAGAGGCUCCAGGUCCGGAUAGCUUCACAGUAGAAUUCUUCAUCAAAUUUUGGGAUCUCCUCAAGGAAAAUCUUUGUAAAUUAUUCAAUGAGUUCUAUGGGACUGGAAACUAAAUGCAUGUAAAGGAGAAAUUUAUUUGCUUGAUCAAGAAAAAGGAAGAUGCAGUAAAGGUAAUUGAUUUCCGGCCCAUAAGUUUCACUACUUUGUUGUACAAAUUGAUUGCAAAAGUGCUUGCUGAAAGAAUGAAGAUAAUUAUGCCCAGUAUUAGAGCUCUCACUCAAAGUGCCUUUUUGGAUGGCCGCCAAAUUCUGGAUCCUGUACUUAUUGCAAAUAAAGUUGUGGAGUAUUAUAGGUCCAAAAAAAGCAAGGAUGGAUUACAAACUGGACCUUGGAGAGGCAUUUGAUCGAGUUGAUUGGGGUUUCUUGGAAAGAAUUUUGAAGCAGAAAAAUUUCAAUCAUUGAUGGAUCAUCUCUUCGAUCAUGGAUUGUGUUGUUUUUUUUUUUAAGAGACACAAGGCAAACUCUAUUAUAGAAAUAAUAUAAAAACUGAAAUAAUAUACCCCCAAACACCUCUGUUUCAAUUUAGGCAUUAACAGUUCUAAUUAUGCACUAUUUUAAGGCUGUUGAAGAAGAAAUAUGUAAGUUUCAAAUUAGAACUUGCCCAGGUACCAACAAGCUACAAAAUCUUUUGGCAUGUCACUUGUUUAAGUCAGAAAAGUAAAAAUCCUCCAUCUCAUGAACUCCCCCAAAUCAAAAGUCAAGUCUCCCAACAACAGUAGCUUACGCUUCAUAGCUCAUUGCAAGACCAACAACUGAAAUGAGUUUCUAAAACCCAUUCUCUUUUUCUAUUACUGCAUUCCACACCUGUCCGACCACGGUGCUGCCAUGAUUGAUCCAAAUUUUCCCAAGUAACUGAAUGCCUUUGCAUUGCAAUUACUCAUCCCCCAUGUUGAUAUUCCGUCCAUUCCAAUUUCAACUAUUGGGGAUAUUUGUAACCUUCCAACUCGAUCUUGGCUUUUAGAUUCCUUUCUAUUAGCUGAAAAUGAUGCCAAGUUAGGUUUUAAAUUCAUCUCCUCUACUUCUUUCUCACCAACCUUUUGGAGAACAGCAUCCAUGUCUUCAAUAAGAUCAUCUCCGAAAAGCUGUUCAAAUGGCACUUCAGCGUCGUCAAUAACACCAAUCUGCCUUUCCCCUUCCUUCUUUGCUUUCUUCUUAUGGUUUUCAAUCUUGGUAAGUGUCUCCUUGUGUAUUGGCAAAGAUGGCUCCUUAUUGCUUUUUGUUCUUUUCUGCUUUGAAGUCUUCUUUUCCUUAUCAAUAUCAUUGGUACCGAGAUUUAUCUUAUUGUCAAGAGAUGGAAUUACUUUCUCCUCCCUGGUGACCUUAUCCAUCUUACGUUUUUUGCGUUCCAACUUCCUGUCCACAUCAGCACCAUUAGUAUGAUCAAGUUUGCCAUCAGUGCCUUGAACAGACGGGUGUGUUUCAACAUUCCCAUUCAGUUUUCUAUCCUUUUUCUCUUUUUGACGAUCUAGGCUCCUGAUUGGAGUGUCGUCUUCUUUAUCACUCCCAUUAUCAUUCUCAUUCUGAAUGCAUUUAUCAAUUGAUCUCGCAUUCAAUACACGCAAGCCUGGAACCAGUCGACAAAUCUUUUUAUCUAACUUAGCACUUUCAGCAAUAGGAUUCCCUCGAACAUAAAUAUUCCUCAGAUAGCCUAAUGAACUCAAUACCUUUAAAUCUGACCAUCUCAUGAUGACAUUAUUUCCCAAAUCCAAAUUCAACAACUUCUUGUUAUGAGCCAAAGCAUUGGGGAGCAUCCUGAUUUCAUUGUGAGCAAGUCUAAGCUCUUUAAGUUCGAUACAAAACUUGAGGGAUUCAAUAGAUUGAUGUUUGCAGUUAGAAAGGGAUAGCUUUUUCAUUGAAUUCACUUUCAACAAAGAAUCUCCAAUACUGUGGAUUGGAUUUCUAGAAAGAACCAGAGUAUUCAGGUUCUUCAUCUGAUCAAGCUUGCAAAUAGAAGCAAUCUCAUUGUCAUUCAAAAUCAAAUCACAAAAGCCAACAAGGGGUCUAAUUUCAUCCAUUGACCGAAGCUUAUUCUUUCCCGCAUUUAAUACAUUAAGUCUAGAAAGCCCUUUAAUUCCUUUUAAGUUAUCAAGUUUGUUUUGUACAACUGAGAGCCACUUCAAAUUGGUGCAUGACUCCAACCCCUGAAGCGAUGUGAGAUUGUUGAAUGUCAAAUCAAGCUUCUCCAAGUUUUUGAAAAGGGACAAACCAUUUAUAUCAGAAAGAGCCUUUUGAUUGAGCUUGAGAGUAGUGAUGGUGAGUGGGUCUUUGGUUUUGUAAUCAUUGAGAACUUGUUGUAUAUCCAAGCAAGACAUAGUUGUGAAAACCCUAGUUUUCUCUGUUAGGAACAGACACUGCCUCCGAAAACGCCUUCAAACUCCGCUGUCUCUGCUGCUUGUGUGCUGGAUUGAUCAUGGAUUGUGUUAAAAACCCUAAGUAUUCAGAAUUCGUCAAUGGGAGGCCCAGAGGAAGAAUUCAAGCCUCAAGAGGGUUAAAGCAAGGGGAUCCCCUUUCCCUCUUUCUUUUCUUCUGGUUAGCGAAGUGCUUAGUAGUUUCAUCUCAAAUCUACACUUGAACGGUUUGUAUGAAGGUUUCAUGGUAGGAAAGAACAAUGUUCAUGUUCCCCUCCUUCAAUUUGCAGACAACACCUUAAUAUUUUCCAAGUUUGAUGAAGUUAUUCAUGAAAACGUUAAAAAGACGCUUGAAAUAUUUUAGUGUUAUGGGCAAAAGAUAAAUUGGGAAAAGUCAUCUAUAUGCGGAAUUAAUAUUGGGGAAAGUAAGAUCUCCUUAGCGGCAUCCAUGAGGAAUUGCUAAACAUUCCUCAUGCCAAAAAAAUCUCUAAUUCCAUUGAAAGAACCAUGGAGGAACUUCUUUUGAGAAGGGAACAACGGUAGCAAGUUGAACCACCUAGUGAAAUGGGAAUUAGUUUCCAAACCCCAAGGAGAUGGGGGCCUUGGGCUGGACAAGCUGAAAUUUAGAAACAUUACUCUUCUUGCCAAGUGGAGGUGGAGGUUCAUGGCAGAACAAAACUCUCUAUGGUAUAAGGUGGUUUGUAGUAUUCACGGGAGUAGCCUCUUCCAGUGGCACACAAGUGGCAAAGAAAAUUCAAGUUUAAGAAGCCCUUGGAUAAAUAUUUCUAGAUAGUGUGGCAGCUUUUAAAGUUGGAAAGGGUGACAAAAUUUUGUUUUGGUUGGAUCCAUGAAUGGAUAGAAUUGCUUUGAAGACCACACUCCCAAGCUGUACAGAAUUGCCCUUAAUCCAAAAGGCUCGGUUGUAGAACAUUGGAACACCUCCACUUCCUCUGGGUUUCUUGAUUUCAAAAGAUUGUUAGGAGCUUGAAAUCUCUAAUUUUCAACUUCUCCUGGGCUCCUUGGAAAGGACAAGAUUAUCCAAUAUUGAGAAUAAAAGAAUCUGGUUAAUGGAAACUAAUGGGGUUUUUUCAGUAAAGUCAUUAUCGAAGCACUUGUCUCUUGCCACUCCGAUGGACCUACAGUUGGAAAAAAGCCUUCAGAAAUCUAAAAGCCCGAGGGUAAGUAUAACUCUAUCGAUUAUGUUGUUCAGGAGUUCAAUUUGUGCAUCCAUUAUGCAAAAGAAGUUACCCACUCAUUAUAUUUCGCCACAUAUAUGCCCAUUCUAUCUCAAAUUUCAUGCGGAACUCCAGCACUUGUUUGAAUGUGUAUAUGCUGCCAAGUGUAGGAGUAAACUCUUUCACACCUUUAAUCUCAGCUGAGACCUUGAUAAAGAAUGCAAGAAUAAUGUUAGACAGUUACUUCUUGGUCCGGUUAUGAUGAAAAAAUGCCUCCUUGCUUUGGUGCAAUACCGUCAAGGAAAUUUUGUUGGAACUGUGGUUUGAGAGAAAUCUGCGAGUCUUCCACAAUAAAGCCUCCUCUUGGUUCAAUAGAUACGAGUGCGCACGUCUGAAUGCCUCUUUGUGAUGCUCUCUACGAAAACAAUUUAAAGACUUCUCUAUGCAAUAUAUCUUACUAAACUGGCAGCCCUUUUAACUUUCCUCCUUGUUGAUGAUUCAGAUUUGGCUCACAGCCUCUGGUGUUUCCAACCGUUUCAGAAUCUUUCUUUGUCUGGCUGUAUUUUUAAUUCCUAGUCUGGUUAGAAGUUGUUUCUUAUGUCCUUUUUGAGUUGUAUUGGUUGUGGUUAGUCCUGCACUUGGACGUUAUUAGUUGUUCUAUCUUUUUAUUAUGUAGGAUAUGAUAAGGAUACUAAGAGGGUGUCAACUUAGCUGGGAUGCUCAAAUGCACAUCCUUAUCCUUGGUUUGAAUGCUCAUCGUAUAAUCCUCUUAUACUAUAAGAUUUAGUUUCAUUGUUCAUUUAUUAAUAAAUGAGGUUGUUUCCUUUUCAAAAAAAAUCUAAAGGAUCAACUUGAUCCAAUCUCUUUAAAUCAUAUCGACGAGAGUAAUGAAUGGUUGGUCGAAACAUUGGAUGAAGAAAAUGAUGAAGCUGAAGUUGACAAUAAGCUAGUUUUUUAUGACAACGACCUCACAUGGGGAGAUGUAGCUCGUGCUAGCGGCGUUAGAGAACCCCUCAUGUACACUAGAUCAAAAGGAAAGUCAACUACCUCUCCCUCCACUUCUAGAGUUCAAAAGCAAGCACCAACUAUACAAGUAGUUAGUAAUGAAGAUGAGGACGACGAUGAAGAGGAAUUAGACAUCAAGGAGAACAAUGGCCGAGGAGCAAUGGACGAAACCAUAGAGUUAGAUGGGGAUGUUGAUGAAUUUGAUAUUUGAUGGUGUUUUAAACUUGUACUUAUAGAGUUCUGUUCAUUUUUAUUUUUUAUUUUUUGAAAUGGAGACAAACUUCUUUAUUAAAUAGAACUCAAACUGAAAGUACAAAGAAUUAUACAAUCGAUUUUGUUCAUUUUUCUUGAUUACAGAACUAUUAUUAAUCUUUGAGGCUUUGACAUUUGUCUAUAAACUUAUGUUCUACCUCAUAUAUUAUUUAUUUAUUUAUUCAUUCAUUGCACCUCGCUUCGCUCAGGCAUUGCCUUUAUGUCGCCUCUCACCUUGAGGUGCCCCUUGCGCUUUGAAAACACUGCUGAGAGAGAGCAGUUUCAUGUUUUUUUGAAACGGAGACAAAACUUCUUUAUUAAUAAGAACCCUAAGUACAAGAAAAUUAUACAAAGAGAGCAAUAAAGAAGAAAUAGAAAGGGGACAUAUCAACUAGGUCGACACCCCCAUAGCGUCAAUCAUCAUAUCCCGAAAAAGUGAUGAUAGACCACCAAUUAUUUUACAAUAUAGCUGGAGGAAAAAGGAGGCAGUUGCACGUGAACAAGAGAAGGGAAAUGGAGAAAGAAGUGGAAACCACCUUGGUGGGGACCAUGGUUAAUUACAUGGGAGAGAGUUAAAAGGGAAAGAAGGAAGGGAAGAGAGGGGUGGUUAGUCAGUUUCUGGAAGUGGAGGGCUGUAAUUUCCUGGAGAGCAGGGAAUGCAGAAAGUGUUCAGUUUCUGUAGUCUGUAGCAAGUUAUUUCCAUUAUCGUGAACUCCUUUACUGUUUUGUUGUUUUAUGUUGAACUUUGUAUUAGUUCUUGUGUUGUACUUUGUUUUCAAGACUCUGUGUUAGUUUGUUUUCUGUAAAAGUUUGGCUGAUAAAUAAACUAGUAGAACACACUACUUGGUGUUCUAUCAAGUAAAUAUCAAAGCAAAACAAAACAAAAAACAGCCAAUUACCAAGUCCAGAAAAAAAAAAAAACAUUUAAAGAAACCCCAAAAAACAAUUACAAUCUCAAAAUAAAAUUAAACAAGGUCAAGACUUCAAAGCUUCAAACUUCAGACAGUAAGAACUGCAAAUGGAGAGAAAAUGAACCGGCAAUGGUUAGGCUCGAUUAAGAAAGGCAUUCCAAUUGAGGUAAAUAUCUUGAAUGGAAAAAUUAGCAGACUCAUUUUUUAAUGAACACCAAGUUCAAUUAAGGUUGUACUACUUGAUCAGUUAACGCUGACCAGAUCCAUCUAAGUUGGCAAACGGAUAGAGAGAUGCUUCUGCCGGCUUCUACAUCUUCAAUGAAGCAACAAUCUCCUUCAUGUCAAAUGCAAUAGUGUGACUAGUCAAUUUUCCAGCUAACCACCUCCAUGGUGAUCUCUGAGACUUAACAGAGAGGACUGCUUAAAAAACCUGGCUGUCGGAGAGGGGAGAUCGGAAGGAGUGGGGUGGAGGGAGGGGAGAGGAGAGGAGGAGAGAGAGAACUUAGAGCAGUUUUAUGUUAUUUAAUGAACGUACAUAAAAGAGAAGUUUGGAUUUCUCAUAUGUCUUAAAUCUCCAAGUUCAAUUAAGGUUGUACUACUUGAAUUCUGGCUUAUCGUUGGGAGUCCCGAUGUGCAGUAGUACACAUCAUGCUUCGACAAUGGAUUUUUGAUACUUUGCCCCCAAUACAAUCUUGUUGUCACCAAACAAGUUCCUUGAAGUACCCAGUAUAACAUAUCAUGACCAUGCUUCCAUAAUUAAAAAGAUAAGACAACCAAAGUACUCUUAAAUCGAAGAAAAACAUUGCUGCAAAAACAAGUAUACCUCCACAAGUUUCUCAACUUUUGUAAAAUGACAACCAAAGGAGGAGUAGCGCAUGCCAUACAGAAAUGGUGCAAGAUAUACUCUGAGUUUGUUCUACAGUAAAGGAAUUCACAAAGUCAGUUAAAAGUGAUUGUUCAAAGAAAACAAAGAAUUCAACGAUGCUAACACAUUUAAUUCAAAUACACAAAAAUUCAUUGAAGACCAAGAAAAAAGAACAAGACUUACAUUGAGAAAAAAAAUAAUUAUAUAAGGAAAGACCAAAAAAAUCAAAGCUCACACAAGUGAAUCCAAUUAAAGAAAGAAACUCCAGUCAAAUAAAUUACAACCUAGAGGACAGAUGAAGAAGAAACUCCUCAAUCAUCUUCGUGAUCUCUGUGUCUAAUGUUUUUCAAUGCUCAAGGCAUAAUAAAGCACAAUAGUCUUUUAGGGCUUAAGUGCAAGGCGGAAAAAAAAUGUGGGUUUUUUUUUAAGGUGCAGUCUCUCUAUAUAUAAUACAAGAUAAUAUAAAAAUACAAGAUAAAAAAGAGGAUAGUUGAAUUGGGAAUAUAAAAGAAAAAAAAUAAAAGUAACCAUAGGAAAAAAAAUAUUCCAUUUAGGCCAAGCAAAUUUUAUUAUUUAUAAUUAAUAUGGAAGGAAAAAACCCUAAUAAUUACUUUUUUAAAAUAAUGAAAAAAAAACCCCAAUGCCUAGGACAUUGGGCCGUAGGGCUUCACUGAAAGCACCACAUCUGAUGCACUUGUGUGCAAGGCGAGGCACUAUGCAUGCGCCUAGGAGGCUUUCUAAAACACAGCAUGUGUCUAGCAAAAGGAAAGUCAAACACCUCAUAGAAACAACUCCAAACUAACCAAACAAAGUCAUGAUUCAAAAAGAUAUGAUUGAAGUCUUUUUUCUGCCCACCAAUACAGAAUGUGAAAAAGCAGCCCUACAAAAAGGAUCAUCUUUCUAAAAACCAAUCUAAUCUGUAAAAGUCUUCCUCUUUUCAGCCUCCUCAUAGUGUUCUUCCUCCUAUGAUCUCGAGUUUGUCUUGGUGCAAGUUUUUGGUCGCCUUUUAUUUAGAAGGAUGUUUAGUCUUGUAUUUGUAUUUGUAUUUCCCUGUACUUCUUUUGUGUUUGUUUUGCCUUUAGCCAUUACUCCUUUGUUACGGGUUUUAGCUUGGUUGGAUAUGAUGAGGGUGUUAAGGGGGUGUCAACCUAGUUGAGAUGUCCAGGUGCACCCCCGAUCCAUGCUUACAUGCUCAUUGUAUAAUUCUUUUGUAUUAUGAGCUUUUGUCUCAUUAUUAUUAUAUUAAUAUUAAUAAAGAGGCUGUCUCCUUUUUAAAAGAAAUAUCUGUAGAAGUCUUCCAUGAUUGACUUACCACAAACAGAAGUGCUAAGUCUUCUAGAAAAAUUUUACAAAAUCUCUAAAAGAGGGAACUACAUUCUUAAAAUUUUCACAAAAGCUCCAAAAGAGGGAACUACAAGAAAUACUUUUAGAAGGAUUCAAGCUCCAAAAGAGAAACAAUCCUUCUCCUUCGUAUUAAUAUCAAAUGUCUCGUUCGAGGAUACAAGAGCCACUAUGUCAGUUGCUUCUCUAUCAAACAACAAAUGACAGAAUCCCAACAAUAUCCUAGAGCUACUAAAACGAGAAAAGGCAUCUGCCACCAAAUGAUUCAGCAUAAGGAAAAAGAUGUAAACAGGAAAAUAGAGAGCAGGGGCCGAAUGUCUAAGAUGAAAGCACAAAAUAGUUCAAAACUUCGAAAACACAAAAUAUUAGUCAGUAUAAGACCAUGCUUUGUCAAAAAUUUCGUCAAAGCAGCUGAGCAAAUAAAAGCCUAAGAAAUUUCUUUAGAACAGUGCAAUAAGAAAUUGUAAGCACCUUCCACUUAAAUAUGUGGUUAAGAACUUCAGGCUCACAAACAGCUUCUGCAUCCUCAAUGCAACAUCCUUCCUCAAGCUUGCGCAGAGCAGCUCGAACAGCCUAACAACCAAAACAGUAGACCAUUAAGGGAUAAGAAACCACGAGAUCACUUUAAGGAUACAAAAGUUAAUAAUUUUCUUACCACAACUGACCCUUCCAACUUCCCCAUCUUAAUUGUCUUGUCCACUACAUGUUUUAAAGAAUAUGCAUGAGUAGAUGGGACUUUGUGCUUCUUAAUUACGUCUUCCAAAGUAAUUGACGAUGCAACAUUUUUCAUCAUGUCCAUUAACCUAGGUUAAAAGAAAGAAUAUUUUAGAAACAAAUCCACUUUACCAAACAUGCAAGCGUGCACUUUAGGGAAGUUUAUAACUGUUGUCAUUCCUUAAUUCAUUUUUUAAGGGUGAGGGCAUCAAAACCAAAUGUGAAGUACAAAUGGCAGUUACCUCCUCUCCGAAUUGGCAUCUAAUAGGAGCAUCCCACUUCUAUCCUCCUUGUAAAUCUUACUUGGAUCAAAUCUCUUGGUUGGUAUGGCAGACUUGCCAACUAAGGAGGAUUUUUUCACUUUGAUCGUCUUAUCAAUGUCCAUGAGGACAGAUUCUCCUUUUUGAUUCAAAGAGUUUCUUGAAAUGUUACCCAAUUUCACAUUUUUAGACUCAGAACUCCACAAUGAUUUCGCAGUCACUUUACCAAGAAGCUUCCCAUCAGAUGAGGACCUCUCAAAUGAUUUGGAUACUUUUGCAGCAGAUUUUCCCUGAAGGUCAUCUGGCAUAGAUCCCUUCUUUGAUACAACAUUCUCCCUACUCCCACGAAAAACUAUCGUCUUCCCUCGUCUUGUAUCACUGAUAGGAAGUUUCCUUUUCUGAAUGGGAAGCCUACUCUCUUCAAGACCAGGAAAUUUUAUAUGGUCUCUAGCAGGAGUCUCAAUUUCUUCAUCAAUCUCGUGGUCCCUGGUCAAAUUAAAUGAAAAAAAAAACAUUAAUAGGCCAAUACUGAUUAAAGGAAAUAGUAGUAACAGCUGACACAGCAAUCUUACAAGCAAUAUAUCAAAAUGCGAUUAGGUAAUAGCUUUUCCCAUGCCCUGGUCGGGGUUUCACCAUCCUCAGAACCUUCAAAAGUGAUUUUCCUAACAAAAACAAUGCAUUCUUUAACCAAUUAAGCACCAGAACUUAAAAAAUUACACUCUGAUUCACUAUAUAGAAAUUCAAAGGAUACCUUGGUAAGCAUUUCCUGUGGUAUGAUUUUGGACACCGUCGACAAACAGCAAACUGUAGUUCCCAUAUUUUCUUAUUUUCGCCGAGCGCACAAACAGAGCACUUAUGCACAGGGCAUGAGAAAGAUUCUCCAGAUGCAAUCUUCUUCUCAAGGUCUCCAGCGGCAACUUUAUUCUCCGGAUGAAGCAAUCUUGAAAUACAUUUAGGAUGAUAAAAAUAACCACAAGUUGCAUUUACGCAUUGGAAGACCUAAAGAGCAAUAGUAACUCAUAUUAGGUAAUAAUCAGAGACUGAUGUCUAAAAUCAUAAGUAAAUCUCUUUUUCUAAUAAGAAAAGCAUAUGUAUAUUCAACAAAAAAAGCCAAGAAGGACCAUCUAAGAGGAAAGGGUUGAGGAAACCCCCACCCACAAAACUAAUAAAGAAGAGCCUAGCAAUUAUUAAUACUCAUUAAAAGAUCUAAUUACAAAGGGAGAUAUGAGCUAUUGGCAAAAUUAACAAUGUGUUAGAAAGUUGCUAACAAGAACAAGAUAUUAAUUUAUUAUAAUGAACUAUAAGAAAAUACAAGAUAAACCCAAGUAUAAGGCACUUGGAACCUCCCUCUUGAGUACUCUCACCCAAGCCCUAAAUCACUCCACAUAAUAACCUCUCUCUCUCACUUACCCUCCCUCCAUUUAUAACAAGAUGUAACCACCCUAGUAACCACACAUAAUAGCUACUAGUAACCACACUUACACAAUAACUACUAGUAACUUCCUAAGUAUCUAAUUACCCUUAUACCCCUAACCCUAUACUAAUCUAAUUACCCUUAUACAAUAUAAACCCAUGUAUACAAAUGUAGGUAUCUAACACAAUGCUAAUAAAUAAAUUACAUUAAAACUACAAAGAUUCCAAACCUACAAACAAGAAACUAGCAAAAAAAGUCAAACAACUCAAACCCAAUCAAAGGGUCGACAAAAUUAUGAACCAAAAGAUUGUGAAAAAACUCUAGUGUAAAUGUAAAGAUGGAAAGAUAUUAGGGUUCACCUAAGUUCAUUAUGAUUAUAAUAAACAAAAACAAAUUAAUAAAACAAAAAAAAAAGGGAGCCAAUGUCUAUAUUGCGCAGGAUUCAUAUAGUAAAUAUUCAUACAAUACGUGAAGGAUAGCCAUUUUAGUAGUGAAGUGUAUGGUCAAUCGAUUUUAUACCUACAAUGAGUUAUUUUUAGAGGAGUUUCAUUGAAUCUUUAACAACUUUCCAAAUAUAAGCAGAGUACAAAUAAACUUGACUUUGUAUUACUCUCUUUGUAUAACUCUCUUGUACUUUGAGUGCAUAUUAAUAAAAAAGAUUUGUCUCCGUUUCAAAAUAAAUAAAUAAACUUGACUUUGAGGGUGAGUAUUUUUUGUUUAUAUGAUGAUAAAACCAAUUUCAAUGAGGAAAAAAAAAGAGAGAAUAGGAGGCUAACCAAAAGCCAGCCCACUAAAAGGAAGGGAACCCUCUAGAAAAAGGGACCCAACUAUGCAAAAUAACACCUAUAGAAUAAUUACAAAAUUCCUUCGAAUUCAAGGCCCACAAAGAAACAUGAUAACGUACAAGGGACCAAAUCUCACUGGGGACCCUCUCCCCACCCCUAAAAACCCCAUUGUUCUGCUCACCCCACACCACCCAUAAAAUAGAACACACCCCCAUGACCCAAAGGAAGUGCCCUUCUCACUGGUCAGGGUUGAGAAGGAACUCCUCAAGCAACGCACACACAUCUCUAUGUCAAGUCCCCCUAACGCCAAAUGUCUAAAACAAAGAGUUCCAAACCAAGCUGGAAAACUCACAAUGCCCAGAAUGUGGUCCAGAUCUCCCUCCCUUUUCUACAAAGAAUGCAACAAGAAAGGACCUACAAGCGAGAGCAUCUUCCUCUUAAGCCUAUCCAUCCUGUUUUUUUUCUUUUUACGGUCGUGUAAAACUUGCCAACUAAAGAACUUAACUUUCCUAGGAAUCUCAAUCCUCCACAGCACAAGAAAACAGAUAGACCUAGGGGAGAACCACUUCACCCACGUCUAAACGAGUGGCCCUCAAGUACCUCUAUUGUUUCCCUAUAGGAAAAAGCACAACAGAACCCAAAAGAGAGGGAAUACGAGCUCCUAGACCACACGAGAAUAUCAGCAACAAAACAGUGUUUGUGAUCAAGAAAAUGAUACGAAAGAGGGAAUAAGAAACAGAGAGGUCUCUCCCCCAUCCAAUGGUCUUCCCAAAAGUAAGUAUCUCUCCCCCAUCCAAUGGUCUUCCCAAAAGGAAGUAUCUCUCCCCUUCCCCACCACACAAUGAAUGAAUUGAACAAAAGCAAGGAGAUCUUUCUAGAAAAUCUACGAGAAUUCUUCGAACAAAAGAUAAUUCAGUAUUUGUCCAUACAUGAGGGGAAGACUUCCACUUAUAGAGUUUUAAUACAAGUGGUGGUAAAAAAUGGAAUUAACCUAAGACUAUGACCCAGCUAACCACAUUCUUCUUACAUCACCACUUUCCCCUUCUCCCUCCUGAUUCAAUUGAUGCAAUCAAGCUCUCUUUCAACCCUAACAUCAUUUCCAAUUAAAUCAACUCAGUUGACAUCAAUUUCAUGAGGAUCGAGCUCGUGCCAUUUCUUCGAACUCAAAGAAAAGCCUCAUGGGUUGGCAAACCACCAUCUGAAGUGAUUCUUUAGACUCUAUCACUUUUGAGUUGGUAGCAAAAACAUAUUCAGGGGAAUUGAUGUAGAGUGUAGAAUAAUGGGGGCCAAGGCUUCUGCUGAUUAUUCAAGUCAAGAUAUUAGUUUAAACUGGAGUGCUCUCAUCUCCAUGUAAUUGUUGAUGGCAACCGUGGAUAAGAUGGCUCUCUUCCUCUACUACACUUCAUAGUCUUGUUUUGCUAUUUUUGAAUAUUCUUGGCGAUGGAACAAAGAUCAAGAACUUUUCUAUUGAUGUAGUGAGAAGAAACAACAAAUGUUCAAAUGAAACAGAAAAUCUGGAAGUUGCUAAAAGGUAAGUUCUCUUUGUUAUCCCUCCUCCCCCCUCCCUCCUGCUCCCUUUUCGGUUCUCUCUUUUUCCAGUAGCCUCACAACGACUACUUUUCAGUCUAACAACGUUAGCCUCCUGGUGAAGUCUACCCACAGACCAAUCACUAAAGGUCUGGUGGUUGAGUUUCGUUUUAAUUGCACAGGGAAGCUUAGAAGUGAGACUGCAAUGGAAGUGGUAAGUUACGAAGUUCUUCAAUCGUAUUAUCGCAUUUGGUCAGAAGACGAUAGCUUCCUUGUCAAAGAUGUGAGCUGGUGCCUGAAAGCAUUAUCAGUGUUAUUAAGAGGCCCAGCAGAUUGUUUCUUCCAGAAAUGGGGGAGUUAAACCAAGGAAGGUUGAAGUUGUCAAAGUUCAAGGCAAAAAAGGGUUGGGUGUUAUGUUGUGUGACCUAUGGCCAUUUUCAGGUGGACACUCCUUCAUUCGAGUGUGUUAGGGAGAAGACAAACAGGGGUGGGUGGCAUUUCACAAAAUGCUGGAGAAUUUCCUUUUCAAAACCAGAGUAUAUAAGUUGGUAUUCACAUAAAAUUGCCACAUCUUUUAAUCCAGCCCAGGCUAAGAGUACAAGCUUCACAGAUAAAGUUAAAUCGGAUGGUAACUUAACCCAUGAUGAAAAGAAAAAAAAGAGAGUGCCAUUAAAGUUGAUUAUCAGGCUGUGACCAAAGAUGAAGGAGAAAGCUCUCAAGUUUCCUCUAUUUUGAAGAGAGCAAAACAGAGUCAGGGGGUGACAAAUAACUCGGAAGUUAUUCAAACAAAGUUUGAAAAUGAUGUAAGAAGACUAAGAGUUAAUUGGGUAAUUAGGUAAUAUUCUAGAUUAAUUCCCUUUUUAGCCCCAUUUGUAAUAGAAGUCUUCUCCUCUUGUAUGAAGCACAUUAUUCAUUCUAAUAAAAGAUUCUCAAUCUUGGUUCUUGGAGGAUUUCUCCUUGAGAUUACUUAGGCUACAUCAGAAUAGUUGUGGAUAGUUACAAUACUCUUUGCGUUGAUUAUUGGAGAGAAAUUCGAAAACUGCUGGAAAUCUUUUUCCAAACAAGAAUUAUCAUCAACCCACUAUUGGAUGAAAAUGCUCUUAUUAGUUUGGAUCAAGGCCUGGUUGAAGAUUUCAUCAAUGAACCUGAGAGAUGGCAGGAGAUGGGGCCAUUUCACCUAAAGUUCGAAAAAUGGGAUAGAUUAAAAAACAGCCAGCCGUUGGUAAUGAAAGGCUGCAGCAGAUGGUUAAGAAUUGGAAACCUUCCUCUGGACUACUAGUGUAGAAAAACCUUCGAAGCCACCAGAGAGAAUUUUGAGGGUUUAGAAAGCAUUGCCACAGAAACGCUUAAUCUAACCAAUUGCAACGAAGCAAGAAUUCAAGUUAAACCGAAUUUAUGUGGUAUUAUACCUACUACCACUGAAAUUACAGACUUUAAUAGAAGUAAUUUUUUCUUGAAUUUUGAUGAUAUUGAGCCUAUGGAUCCCCCAUGUAUUUUCAAGGGAAGUCUUAUUGUUAAGGAUUUUCAAAAACCCUAUUGAUUAACUAAGGGUUAGGCAAGCUUUGGAAGAUGAAGAUGUUAAUGUUUUGUUCUUCCCUCAAGAACUUGAUGUGUUUAAAUCCACUAAAACAGCUCCCUCCUUUUCAAGAAAUCCAUUAGAAGCUUUGAAUCAAAUUCAUGUUUCCUCACCGGCGCCGGAGGCCGACAAUCUGAUUGGAAAUGAAAUAUGUCCGUUAGAAAUUAAUAGGCUGUAUCCAAGGAAGAGAGAGAAUUCAGCAGAAGAUAUCUAUGCAUUUAAUUCAUUGGGCUUUGGUCUAACCUCAAAUGGUGGAAAGCUCAAAUGGGGCUACUUUCCAGCCUAGUAUGAACACGAAAAAAGCUUUAACAAGGAAAGAGAAUGUGAAUGGAAAUGAUUCUCUGCAAAGUAAUUGUUCUGCUUCCAUCCGUAAGGGCACGAAAAAGAAAUUUAAAAGAGAGCCUGUUGUAGUUCCUCCGUUAUUCCUCCCAAAAGACAGCUCAGCAGCAUUAACUAAUCACUCAAGAACCCUUCCACCUUCCAGCCGUGUUCUCAUAUCUUCCUCUGCCUUGGAAUCCAACUCUUCCUUGCCUUUUUCCAACCAAUCAAACAGUACAGUGAAUAUAGCAUUCCAAUUGUCCAAGGAUAACUCGAAUAAUGAUCUUCUUCAGUCUCCAUCUCACAAUACGAGUGAGUUCGAAAUACCUCAGAAAUUUCCGGCUAACAUUUGCUUGCAUCAACGAAUGAAGAGAAACAAGAAGUGCAAGAUUCCUAAAAUGUCUCAAGGAAGUUCUUAUUUGGUUAAGCCUUUCCGAAAACACUUGACCAAGAAAAGGACUUCUUUUAGCAAUUCUUGGACAAAAAUCACAAACCCUGACUUGCUUGAGGCUGUUGUGUCAAGAUCCAAGUCCCUGGCCUAAAUCAAAACAGGUCAGCUUCUUUACCUUUUUUGAAUAAACCUGGUUCCCAUUUCGGAUGUAAUUCCCAAGAGUCUUUCAAUCCUCCUUCUGUGCGAGGAUUACAUAGCAAUUUUCAGACUUCUCAUAAAGGUACGAAAGACUUUGAUGAAGAGUCAUUGGCAAGUGUAAGCAGUGAAGAACAGGAAAGAGGACAAUGAGGAGAUAGAAAUUACAAUAAAAUGCCAGUUGAUAUGAACAAGGCUUUAAGUAUUUUAUUCCAAUCUGAAGAGGUUCAAUUACUUUCCAUUAAGAAAAGCUUUCCUUUACUCCACUGUAAAAGAAAAAUACAUACCUAAAAAUUGCAUUCCAUAGUGGAUACCUGUGAAAUCUCUUUAGCCUAAUCCAAAGGAAAACAGGUCAUUCGGUGGAUAUCCUCAGGGUUGAAAAUUGAAGAUUAGCUAUUGAAUUGCAUGAUGAUUUGGACAAAAACAUGGUGGCUGAUUCUUAGAAGUUUUCAAAAGAAAUUAGUCCAGACAUACUACUAAUUCAAGAUUCUAGAAUGGACAGCUUCGUUAAAGAAGUCAUAGAAAGCAUAUAGAGCUCAAAAGAUGUCGGCCAGAUUUUAGUUGGAAGCUUUAAAGAUUUUCAGGGACUUUCUUACAAGGUGGGUUGAAGGUUUUUUCAGAAAACUGACAUUGCUAAAGCUGACUUCUCUUUGAUAACUGGAGUAAUGAGUUGAAGGCAGUGCUGGCAAGUUUAUGUGGAUUGGAAGAAGACUACUUCCAGAUCCUCUGGACUUUGGAUUGUGUUGGCAAGUUAGCUUUGAGGCAGCUGUUUGCAUCUUCUUGGCUUUCAUUUUCUCCUAUCAUCUUGAAGAUUUGGAUGUGCAGUACUUUUUAUACGAGUGGAGUGGGCUAAUUUUGAGAGAGUGUUUAAGUAUUGCUUUUUACUUAGCUUUCUACUGAUGUACUGUAUUGUGUGGCUUUGAUUAGCUCGUUUAUUUUCUGAUUCGGACUCGUAUUUAAGUUUCCAUCAUAUUUAUGUUGCCCGAUUAUAGUCUUUGUUUAUGUUUUAGCUUGUUUUUUCCCUUAGUUCUUUUGGUUUUGGUAUAAUACUCUUGUACUUUGAGCUUUAGUCUCAUUAUCCUUCAUAAAGAGGCUUAUUUUCGUUUCAAAAAAAAAAAAUCUUGGCAAUGAUUGUAAUUUUUAAGUUAUUAAGUUAUUUGCAAGUUUCUUUUCAAGGUGUUGAUGGUACUAAUGGGGUGUCAACCUAGUUGAGAUGCCCGGGUGCACCUCCUGAUCCACAGCUUUAUGCUUGUUGUUUCCAUUGUACUUUGAGCAUAGUCUCAUAUCAUUAUUUUAAUGAAAAAGCUUGUUUCUUGUCAAAAAAGGGUGCUGGUGCUGGUGCUGGUGGUUUCAAAGGGUACAUAAUGGUGUACAAGUUCGAUGCCCUCUCACUGAUGAAGGCAAGGCGAGGGCUUUUUUUCUCAAAGAAGAAAGGAGUGGGG
Molecule: long non-coding RNA, 36789 nt
Filed under: Cucumis sativus (cucumber)
Lineage: Eukaryota; Viridiplantae; Streptophyta; Magnoliopsida; Cucurbitales; Cucurbitaceae
Description: long non-coding RNA (CSAT_LNC002964)
Source: RNAcentral